GUGCUCCGUUUGGCAGCACAUGUACUAAAAUUGGAAUGAGACAGAGAAGAUUAGCAUGGCCCCUGCACAAGGAUGACACGCAAACUCAUGAAGCGUUCCAUAUUUUU
This is a small nuclear RNA of Loxodonta africana (African savanna elephant), 107 nucleotides long. The record is from Ensembl. Lineage: Eukaryota; Metazoa; Chordata; Mammalia; Proboscidea; Elephantidae.